This is a long non-coding RNA of Ostrea edulis (European flat oyster), 953 nucleotides long. RefSeq lists it as uncharacterized. The transcript has 2 exons. The record is from RefSeq and is a predicted model, not a curated record. NCBI's taxonomy places the organism in Eukaryota, Metazoa, Mollusca, Bivalvia, Ostreida, Ostreidae.
GCUUUAUGGAAAAUUUGAUCAUGUACCAACCCGUAUUUAUAUCCCGAUAAAUAUUUUUAAAUGAUAUCUUAUUACUUAUAUUUACAUUUUUGGUCGGUAACAUUGCUGAAUUGUGUUAACAACACGUUUCCAUACAUUUCAAAUUGUUGACGUCCACAACGAAGCGUCAUAGAUGUUCAAAAUGACGACAACACAAAACAAAGUUCUAUAAAAUGAAGAACUGUUUUAAUUAUUAAGACGCUAGAAAGCAAGUAUAUCAACAUAUACUUAUACAUUAACUCGGGAGUAUAUAAUGGAAAACUCUUCCAUGUGUCUAAUUUUAGGGGGUGGGGGAAUUAUGAUUUAAACGGGGAUGCGCAGUGUUACACUUAGAGUUGUGAUGCGCUUUGACUUUUGAAAAGUGAAGACGUUGAAGACCGACUUUGAAAGAUAUUCUGUGGAUAUUACGGAGUUAACAGAAGACUGAGAUGGAGGAACAUGAAGAACAGGGCGGCAGUCGUCAGGUGUAGGCAAAUUAUUUAUAGACAGGACAGCUCGACAGAGGACGCAGCUCAGAUGAAUCUCCGGAAAGAACUGAACAUCGCAGAGAAUGUGGAACUGCACGAAGGUUGUUAACGACGCCUCGCUUCGAUGUCCCGACAUAAACUUGGAAACCGACAUCAAGCACUAUGGCUGCUGUGGCACGGAAGCAGUGUGGUGUGUAGGUCUUAAUGCACUUUGACGACUUAUCGGCCAUACAUCCUGUGAACGACCUUUUUGCUAAAGCCUAAUGUCAUCGUCUAGCAGUAGGUACAAUUCCGCAUCACCGAUGACCAAGGUGAAGUAGCAGACGAAAUUUUAGACAUACAUUAGGCCUAGUAGGCUAGUAACUAAAGACAUUGUUUACAGUUAUGAUUUUAUCAAUUUUUGAUGAAAGUCCACUGCUUGGAAUACAAAUAAAACCGUAAAUACAU